This is a non-coding RNA of Nicotiana tabacum (common tobacco), 1205 nucleotides long. The record is from RefSeq and is a predicted model, not a curated record. NCBI's taxonomy places the organism in Eukaryota, Viridiplantae, Streptophyta, Magnoliopsida, Solanales, Solanaceae.
AUUGCCCAAGACCAUAUAAGGAGGCCAAGAUACCCAUAACCCACCGAUGUGGGACACAACUCAACAUGAAUAUAAACACAUAUUCACUUGAUACUAAUAUAGCUCAUCUAUCUCUUGUGUUGGCUGGUUGCUUUUCUAUUAGCAUCCUUAGGUGCAGUAAGGAUUCAUAAGUAGUUGUUAACGGAGUAGAGUUACCAAAUUCUGAGGACCUCUUUGUCAAAACUUUGUUAACCUGUGGUAGUCCAACCUUGGUACUCUCUGUCGUGUUAUACAUGGUGACUAGCAUAUGAAUGUUAUAAGCUGUAAGAUCAUAAAUUGUGUUGGGCCUCACAUUUGAAGAGAACAUUUGUCAAGUUAGACUGUCAAGUUCAUUUCUCUAUUUAUAAAAAUGUUUUAUGGUCAACACCACUAACUUGCUUAUAUGGAUUAUGGGUUUGUUCGUUCGUCCUUGUAAAUGCUGCUUUUUGUUGAUGCCACCUAUAAAAGCUUAAAUAGUUUAAAGCCACUGGUACCUGUUUAAAAGCGAAUAGUUUAAGCCGCAGUUGUGUCUGUAUAAUAUAACUGUGGUAAAUUUGACACUAUAUGCACAUCACAGGGAAUUCCGGGAACAUGUGAAGGACCUAUCAUCCAUAUCAAAGGAUCUAUGCCGGAUUGUCAUUGUUGAUAACAACCCAUUCAGUUUUUUGUUACAGCCUUUAAAUGGGAUUCCGUGCAUUCCGUUUUCUCCUGGACAACCCGAUGACGAGCAGCUUUUGGAAGUAAUCCUUCCACUUCUCAAGCAUCUCUCUGAGCAGAAGGAUGUAAGGCCUAUGCUCCACGAAAGGUUUCAAAUGCCAGAAUGGUUUCAAAACCAUGGAAUUCCCGCUUAUCGAUUUAUGGAGUGACAAAUAUAUGAUGAUCUCGGCAAGUGAAAUUGUUGCUAUUCAGGGAGACACCUAUACUCUAAUAUGUUGUACAAGGUUAGUACUUCUUCGCCGGAAGAACGAAUUUUUGUAUAGCUUAUUUGUGCAGAGGAGUAACCAUCUAGAAGUCACAACUUCCUCAUGUCUCACUUGAUGUUCUCCACUCUUCAUUGCACCCAUAUGUAUUACUGUGGAAAUCUUUUAAAUUCUUGUGUAACUUUGUUUAUAGCAUCCGAUGUCGGAAGAUAUUUGAUCACCUAUAAUUAUACCUUCACCAAAAUUUAUGUAUAGAUUUGAUGUUUA